This 473-nucleotide ribosomal RNA is filed under the name uncultured bacterium. RNAcentral describes it as "SSU rRNA". It matches the Rfam family "Bacterial small subunit ribosomal RNA", at positions 26 to 518 of the family's 1533-position model. The record is from RNAcentral.
AGGACGAACGCUGGCGGCGCGCCUAAAACAUGCAAGUCGAACGAGAAGCCCGGGCUUGCCCGGGUGGACAGUGGCGAACGGGUGAGUAACACGUGAGGAACCUGCCCCGAAGACCGGGACAACACCGGGAAACCGGUGCUAAUACCGGAUACCUUCACCGGAUCGCAUGGUCUUGUGAAGAAAUGGAUUCCGCUUCGGGAUGGCCUCGCGGCCUAUCAGCUUGUUGGUGAGGUAACGGCUCACCAAGGCAACGACGGGUAGCUGGUCUGAGAGGAUGUCCAGCCACACUGGGACUGAGACACGGCCCAGACUCCUACGGGAGCAGCAGUUAGGAAUCUUGCGCAAUGGACGAAAGUCUGACGCAGCGACGCCGCGUGCGGGAUGAAGGCCUUGGGUUGUAAACCGCUUCAGCAGGGACGAAAUUGACGGUACCUGCAGAAGAACGCCCCGGACAACUACGCGCCAGCAGCCGC